This 274-nucleotide ribosomal RNA is filed under the name uncultured bacterium. Its description in RNAcentral is "partial 16S ribosomal RNA". It matches the Rfam family "Bacterial small subunit ribosomal RNA", at positions 523 to 796 of the family's 1533-position model. The record is from RNAcentral.
AUACGAAGGUCCCAAGCGUUAUUCGGAAUCACUGGGCGUAAAGAGUACGUAGGCGGUUUGGUAAGUCAGGUGUGAAAUCCCGGAGCUCAACUCCGGAACUGCAUCCGAUACUGCCAGACUUGAGUAAUGGAGAGGCAGGUGGAAUUCUCGGUGUAGCAGUGAAAUGCGUGGAUAUCUAGAGGAAGACCAAUGGCGAAGGCAGCCAGCUGGACAUUUACUGACGCUGAGGUACGAAGGCUAGGGGAGCGAAAGGGAUUAGAAACCCCAGUAGUCC